UUUGAAACUGCGAAUGGCUCAUUAUAUCAGUUAUAGUUUAUUAGAAAUAYUUUACUACUUGGAUAACCGUAGUAAUUCUAGGGCUAAUACAUGAGUAAAACCUCAACUUCGGAAGAGGUGUGUUUAUUAGUAUGAAAACCAUAUAUCUUCGGAUAUAAUAGUGAGUAAUAAUAACCUUUCAUAUCGUAUGUCGUAAGAUAACGAUAGUUCUUUCAAGUUUCUGCCCUAUCAGCUUUCGAUGGUAGUAUAUGGGACUACCAUGGCAGUAACGGGUAACGAAGAAUUUGGGUUCGAUUUCGGAGAGGGAGCCUGAGAGAUGGCUACCACAUCCAAGGAAGGCAGCAGGCGCGUAAAUUACCCAAUCCUGACAUAGGGAGGUAGUGACAAUAAAUCACAAUGCGGAACUUUUARUUUUGCAAUUGGAUUGARAACAAUGUACAAAUGUUAUCGAUAAACAAUUGGAGGGCAAGUCUGGUGCCAGCAGCCGCGGU
This 491-nucleotide ribosomal RNA is filed under the name Blastocystis sp. RNAcentral describes it as "SSU rRNA". The record is from RNAcentral. Lineage: Eukaryota; Bigyra; Opalinata; Blastocystidae.